This 229-nucleotide long non-coding RNA is filed under the name Capsicum annuum. RNAcentral describes it as "long non-coding RNA (CANN_LNC003099)". The record is from RNAcentral. Lineage: Eukaryota; Viridiplantae; Streptophyta; Magnoliopsida; Solanales; Solanaceae.
AUAGGAUAAAUUAUUAUACAGAAAUUUGUAACUCUGCAAUUACUACAGGAUAAAAAAUUUAAUGAAUAUAUCUUACGAAAAAAGUAAAUUAUUAAAAGAUAUUGAAACAAAAUAUCCACGCACUAAUAAAAAUAGAUUCACUAGAAACCUACUAAAUCUAUUAUACCUAUUAAAUCCGCACACCCCCCUACAAAUCUAUUAUACCUAUUAAAUCCGCACACCCCCCUAC